UUUGCACAUACUUCACAAAGAACACAGGAAAUAACAUUUCCUGCUCUAAUUGUGUCAGUUUCUGACAACGGCUAUAGCCUACACAGCAGGGUAAUUCAACAUUCACAAGACUUGUAAGUUACAUUGUAAAAUGGCUUCUUCCUUGAAACGACGCAAAACGUGCUUGAUGCUAAAAGUGAAUAUAUAGGAAAUGGAGGCUCUGCAGAGGAAGCACAAAAAAAACGCCAUACCUUGAUGAUAACGAUACCUCAGAUGGAAUAAGGGAAGAACAGACAGAGCCAUCUGUUCCUGACUGUCAGUCCAUGAAGAGCGAAAAAUCCAUACAUCUUCCACUACAUUUCAACGGUGUCUACCCCACCUCUGAUAGGU
This is a long non-coding RNA of Salvelinus sp. IW2-2015, 369 nucleotides long. RefSeq lists it as uncharacterized. Lineage: Eukaryota; Metazoa; Chordata; Actinopteri; Salmoniformes; Salmonidae. The record is from RefSeq and is a predicted model, not a curated record.